GAAAUAUCAAUAAAUAAGCUUCUAACUUAAUUUUAAAGCGAUUUAAAUCGUUUAUAUUUCU
This 61-nucleotide transfer RNA is filed under the name Tenebrionoidea sp. 16 KM-2017. RNAcentral's name for it is "tRNA-Ser". Lineage: Eukaryota; Metazoa; Arthropoda; Insecta; Coleoptera. The record is from RNAcentral.